GUAUGCUUUGUGGUUCCAGCCUGGGAAGUCACCUAUUCAAGCUUUUCUUGACCCUCUCAUCAAGCAAAUUGGUGUGCUUUCAAGUGAAGGUGCUCUAUUUGAGACUGCUAGAGGAAUGCAGCGUUGUAGAGCUCGCCUUGUCUUGGUGACAUGUGACCUCCCAGCUAGGGCAAUGCUACUGUGCAUGAAAAUUGUUAAUGGCAUUGCUGCAUGUUGCUAUGGUUACCAUCCUGGAAUGACUAUUGGAGAUGACCAUUUACAUCGGUACUGGCUGUACGAUGGUACUUUAGAGAGAAGAACGCAUGAAUCUAUGAAACAAGAUGUUCUAACUGCAACAGCAACUAAUUCAGCACAGCACCGGGUUUCAACAUGGUCGACAAUGUUACAAUUGAUUAUAUGCAUGUAGUGUAUCUCGGCAUUGUUCGGGCACUUCUUGAUAUGUGGUUGACUCAACAAUCUGAAUCUUACUUUAUUGGUGAUAAGGUUGUGUUUCUGGAUAGACGCCUUCUUUCCAUAUGUCCACCGAUUGUUAUCAAUUGCAGUCCACACACUAUGAAGGAAUUCUAUACUUGGGAAAGCUAAUGAGCUUCGCUCCUGGCCAUUCCAUUGGUCAUUGCCUGUCUUACGUGGAGUUCUUCCAACAGAAUACUUUGUCCAUUAUUCUUUGCUGGUGAUUGGUUGCCGAUUGCUUUAUCAAAGUUAUAUAUCAAGAGAGCAAAUAGAAGAGGCUCAUAAACUGCUGCUGAAGUUUUAUCAAAUUUAUGAAGUUUUAUAUGGCACAAAAGCAGUGACUAUGAAAGUACACCUUCUGCAGCAUUUGCGAGAAGUGCUUUGUGGGGUCAUUCCUGCUUUUGGUAUGAAUCCCUAAAUGGAGUUCUUAAAAGUUUGUACACGGCACACGAUUUGUUUGCAGCCAGGUUGCAUCAGUUGUUAUGAUCAUUAAGACCAUUUCAGAUGUGCUACCAUCACUGACUGACCAGCUAUUAGCACCACCUGUAGUUUGUUUGGCUACAAAAUUUGGACUGAUAUGGUCCCUUUUUGAAGUGGAAGAUUCUGUGAAAGUUUUUUGUCUACCGGAUCUGUUUGUUGACCCAAUCAAUGUUGUUUUGAGGAGGCUUGGCAAUGAGGAACUUUGUUGUGGUUCGCUUGUCAAAACUGUUGGGAGACUGAAACUAGCUGGUCAUGUGAUGCAAUCCAAGAAAGUCACGUGACAAAGAAAAAUUCUUAUAUUGUUGAAUUUACUGAAUGUCAUGAAGAACAGCUGUUGUUUGAUUAUGUAUUACUCUUUAUCAUUUUUGGAUGUGAACGGUUUGCUGUUAUUCAACGGCUUAAAUUGGAGGAGUGGCCAUUAUUGCAUAAUGAUAAUUACUGCAUGACCGAUGUUGUCGAUGCUUGCAGUAAUCUUCAGGAGCUGAUCGGAAAGCAUUUACUUCCUGCUCAAGAGACUCAGGACCUGGUAGCAAUUCCUGUAGGAGACAUAACAGCUCAAGUAGUCUGUAUGAGAAUGUUAGGUUCAAGCUGUAUUUUUGUGUCUCGAUUUCCUGACAUUAUUGAGUGUGAUUGAGUUGUGAAAUACUCAAGAAAUGGUCUUCA
Molecule: long non-coding RNA, 1593 nt
Organism: Corticium candelabrum
Lineage: Eukaryota; Metazoa; Porifera; Homoscleromorpha; Homosclerophorida; Plakinidae
Exons: 8
Source: RefSeq, a predicted model, not a curated record